UUUAUUUCUAAAAGUCACAGAGACAAAACUUUAAAAGCAACAAUUUAUAGUAAGUAUACAUGCAUGAGCAAAAAAAAUAAGCAAGGGAAUACACAAAUGAACAUAGUAAAAUUUUAAUGAAUACAGUAUUCUGGAUAUAAGUAGAAUACCACUACGUAAGAACUGUAUUUACCUCAGAAAUCUAUGGUAGUAUGGAUUGAGAUAAACCAGGCUUAGGAUAGUCACUUCACUAUUCACAUUUUAAUCAGGGUGGACUAGAAGCCAAAACAUUUUAGGCUAAGAUUCUCAAUUAAAUUAUAGAAUGAAUUUUCUAUUUAAUAAACAUGUUUGAAAGUCAUCUGUACUCAUUUAAAGGCAGCUGGGGCAAGUCAAACCACAGAGAGCCCUUACAAAGACUAAGCACCAAAUGACAAAUUGUGGCUUUUGUUUUGGGCCACCUUACAGUUUUUUAAAAUGUAUUUUCCAUUAACAUUUACAUACAGAUUCUUUUCAGGCAAAAGAUCUGACUGUGGAACUUUCUGCUUGAAGAUCUUGCCAACUGUCACUUACAAUAGUUUUUAAGCAAUGAAUACUUCUGAACAAUCCCAAGCCGAUACUUAAUUGGUUAGUUUUAAGAUGCAGAACUUUAAAGUAUUUUGGUCCCUGAAAAGUCAUUAGGGCCAAAUGCCUUAACUGGAAGUAGCAUUUGUUUAAAAUAAAA
RNAcentral lists this long non-coding RNA (700 nucleotides) under Bos taurus (domestic cattle). RNAcentral's name for it is "long non-coding RNA NONBTAT000293". The record is from RNAcentral. Lineage: Eukaryota; Metazoa; Chordata; Mammalia; Artiodactyla; Bovidae.